Molecule: transfer RNA, 76 nt
Filed under: Pseudobdellovibrionaceae bacterium
Lineage: Bacteria; Pseudomonadati; Bdellovibrionota; Bdellovibrionia; Bdellovibrionales; Pseudobdellovibrionaceae
Description: Bdellovibrionaceae bacterium (activated sludge metagenome) tRNA-Ala
Rfam family: tRNA
About the family: Transfer RNA (tRNA) molecules are approximately 80 nucleotides in length. Their secondary structure includes four short double-helical elements and three loops (D, anti-codon, and T loops).
Source: RNAcentral
GGGCCGGUAGCUCAGUUGGGAGAGUGUCGCGUUCGCAAUGCGAAGGUCGUGGGUUCGAUCCCCAUCCGGUCCACCA